Molecule: long non-coding RNA, 1222 nt
Organism: Triticum dicoccoides
Lineage: Eukaryota; Viridiplantae; Streptophyta; Magnoliopsida; Poales; Poaceae
Exons: 4
Source: RefSeq, a predicted model, not a curated record
GCCACCCAAACCCAAACGACCCACCCUCUUCCUCUCCCCGUCUUCUCUUCUCCCGAUGCGUCGCCGCCUCUCCCCAUCUUCCGCUAAGCCACCGCCACCGCCCUCUCACACCUCCUCUCACCGUCGCCUGUGGCACUUCGAGAACGAGCAGCAGAGGAGGCGGCGCUCCAAGAUCGUCCUGCCUCGUCGUAGUGGCUGACGGCCAGGUGCUCCUCCUCCUCAAGGAGGCGCAUCCUCGAUCUGGCCGCCCGGCUCCGCACUCGCGCAGCCGACGGCGCCCGGGACGGAGGCGCUACAGUUGGACCAAGACCCCGCAUUUUUCGUCGACGGGCUGACUCCACCACCGGCGGCGUCACGCUGCAGUUCCAGCGAUCCGCGACCGUCUCCGGCAAGGAGCAGGAGCAGGAGGCGGUGGCGCACGUCGCCUGCAGCAGCCUCCACAUCAACCGCAUCGCCAUCCAGGUUUGGUCAAUCGAUUUGCUAAUGCGGGAGAUGUAGCUUUAGAGGCUGCUGGCACUACAACAGUGAAGUUUUACUCAGUCCAGGUAUCCUUUUGCAAAGCUUAGAUGGUGUUAUGCACUGGGCAAUGGAGACAAUCGCGUGGUGGUAAGCCUCCUCUCCACUCGCAAUGGACUUCAAUGCUCCUUGGCGGGUCGCUGAGAUGCAGCCAUGCAGCCUCAAAUCGCCAUCUCCAGGAGAAGGAGGUUUGGUUUUGCUCUUACUCUAUGUUGCUAUUACGUGCACUUCACCACUCAUUGACACUUAACUGAAUGUUUUUUUGAUGCAUGUGUGGAUGGCAUGAGAGCUAGUUCUUGGGGUUCAUGUCAAAUCUGCUCUCAACUUCUCAACAAAGGGCAGCAAUAACCAUGAUUGAUUUCGUACAACAAAGGAGAAGGGGUUCAUUUGGGCGGGCAAGCUGUGCGGUCAGAGGUGGUGCUACCGUUCGGCAUUGGCUGCACACAUUGCCAUGGUGAGCUCCUCUACCUCCUCUGUAGUUGUUUGCCCUGAUGAUGCUCAUGGCCAUCGACCCGCGGUCGUACAAUGCUCUGUUUCACCGCCAUCGAGCCAUGGAUGAUCUAGGAUUAGUUAGGGUUUUGUUGCGGAUAGAGAUUUGUUACUUUGAUGGGCUGCUGUUUAAGGUUGAUUGGCUUGAUUAGCUCAACAGGAUGUUGUUUAGGGAUGAAUAUAUAAGUAUGUUGUGGUCUGCAGUUCCGGCAUUCAA